RNAcentral lists this ribosomal RNA (405 nucleotides) under uncultured bacterium. Its description in RNAcentral is "bacterial SSU rRNA". It matches the Rfam family "Bacterial small subunit ribosomal RNA", at positions 355 to 774 of the family's 1533-position model. The record is from RNAcentral.
UCGAGAAUUUUUCACAAUGGGGGAAACCCUGAUGGAGCGACGCCGCGUGGAGGAUGAAGGCCUUCGGGUUGUAAACUCCUGUCAUGCGGGAACAAGAAAGUGAUAGUACCGCAAGAGGAAGAGACGGCUAACUCUGUGCCAGCAGCCGCGGUAAUACAGAGGUCUCAAGCGUUGUUCGGAUUCAUUGGGCGUAAAGGGUGCGUAGGUGGCGAUGUAAGUCUGGUGUGAAAUCUCAGGGCUCAACCUUGAAAAUGCACCGGAUACUGCGUUGCUUGAGGAUUGUAGAGGAGAGUGGAAUUCACGGUGUAGCAGUGAAAUGCGUAGAUAUCGUGAGGAAGACCAGUUGCGAAGGCGACUCUCUGGGCAACUCCUGACACUGAGGCACGAAGGCUAGGGGAGCAAACG